RNAcentral lists this ribosomal RNA (593 nucleotides) under Campsicnemus sp. 4 KRG-2014. RNAcentral describes it as "partial 12S ribosomal RNA". Lineage: Eukaryota; Metazoa; Arthropoda; Insecta; Diptera; Dolichopodidae. The record is from RNAcentral.
UGCCAGCAGCUGCGGUUAAACAAAGAAUAUAAAUAAAUUUUAUAAAUACAUAAAGUUAAAUUGAAUUUAUUUAAUUAAUAAAAAAAAGUUAGGUGAAAUUUUAUUUUUUUAAAAAUUAAUAUAAAAAAUUAUAUUGAAUCUUCAAAAUUUUAUUUUUAAACUAGGAUUAGAUACCCUAUUAUUUAAUUAUUUACAAAUAUAAAAAUUAGAGUAGUAAUAGUUAUGAUCUUGAAACUCAAAAAAUUUGGCGGUAUUUUAGUCUAUUCAGAGGAACCUGUAGUAUAAUCGAUAAUCCACGAUGGAUCUUACUUAAUUUUGUUAUUUAAUUUGUAUAUCGCCGUUAUUUGAAGAUUUUAUAAGAAAAAUAAUUUUCUAAAAUUUUUAUUAAAAAAUAAAUCAGGUCAAGGUGCAGUUUAUAAUUAAGUUUUAUAUGGGUUACAAUAAAUUUAUUUAAACGAAAUAAAGAAUGAAAAAUUUUUAGGAAGGUGGAUUUGAAAGUAAAUUUUUAAAGAUAAGAAAAUUGAUUUUAGCUCUAAAAUAUGUACACAUCGCCCGUCACUCUUGUUAAUAAUAUAAGAUAAGUCGUAACAUAG